Molecule: ribosomal RNA, 794 nt
Filed under: uncultured bacterium
Lineage: Bacteria
Description: partial 16S ribosomal RNA
Rfam family: Bacterial small subunit ribosomal RNA
Source: RNAcentral
AGAGUUUGAUCCUGGCUCAGAACGAACGCUGGCGGCGCGCCUAAUACAUGCAAGUCGAGCGAGAAGGUGUAGCAAUACACUUGUAAAGCGGCGAACGGGUGAGGAAUGCAUGGGUAACCUACCCUCGAGUGGGGAAUAACUAGCCGAAAGGUUAGCUAAUACCGCAUACGUUUCCGGRACUUCGGUUSCGGAAAGAAAGCAAUACCGUGGGUAUUGCGCUCAUGGAUGGGCUCAUGUCCUAUCAGCUUGUUGGUGAGGUAACGGCUCACCAAGGCUUCGACGGGUARCUGGUCUGAGAGGACGAUCAGCCACACUGGCACUGCGACACGGGCCAGACUCCUACGGGAGGCAGCAGUAAGGAAUAUUGCGCAAUGGACGAAAGUCUGACGCAGCGACGCCGCGUGGGGGAUGAAGGUCUUCGGAUUGUAAACCCCUUUCGGGAGGGAAGAUGGAGUGGGUAACCACUUGGACGGUACCUCCAGAAGCAGCCACGGCUAACUUCGUGCCAGCAGCCGCGGUAAUACGAAGGUGGCAAGCGUUGUUCGGAUUCACUGGGCGUACAGGGAGCGUAGGCGGUUGGGUAAGCCCUCCGUGAAAUCUCCGGGCCUAACCCGGAAAGUGCAGAGGGGACUGCUCAGCUAGAGGAUGGGAGAGGARCGCGGAAUUCCCGGUGUAGCGGUGAAAUGCGUAGAGAUCGGGAGGAAGGCCGGUGGCGAAGGCRGCSSYCUGGRMCWKUWCUGACRCUGAGACRCGAAAGCGUGGGKAKCAAACAGGAUUAGAUACCCUGGUAGUCC